GAUGAUUUGUACCAAAUUUGAUUGAAAUUGGCCCAUUGGUUCUGGAGAAGAUGAAAAUAUGAAAAGUUGAUGGACAGACAGAUGGACAGACUUGUUCCAAAGAUGCUUCAUACCAAAGAACAAGUGUAUUUUUCUCUAUAUCAAAAGAUGACGAUAAGCCAACUCUUUUCUCCAAAAUACAUGUACCUCAGCAAUGUGAUCGGUUCUGUGCUAGGAUCUGCGCUAUGGAUGAUAGUCUUCAAACUAUUCAAUGACAGUAUCAAUUUUCUGUGCAAUUUGGCAUUGUGACGUCAAAUACAAAGCCCAGCGGGUAUUCAACAUCACAAUUAUAGCAGCUGUUCCCAAUAUAUGACGAAACGAUUUGCUCUGUUAUUAGAAGAGGAUUUAUUCUGCUUUGGUAUAAUAAAAUAUCUAUCCAAUGGGUAGGAAGGCAAAAGCAUGUGUAAUGUUACUUAGUAGAGAGAAAAACUACGUC
Long non-coding RNA from Ostrea edulis (European flat oyster), 475 nucleotides. RefSeq lists it as uncharacterized. The transcript is spliced from 2 exons. NCBI's taxonomy places the organism in Eukaryota, Metazoa, Mollusca, Bivalvia, Ostreida, Ostreidae. The record is from RefSeq and is a predicted model, not a curated record.